GCCAGCCCGCUCAGGUGUGCCAGCAGCGCGGUAAUACGGAGGAUGCGAGCGUUAUCCGGAUUUAUUGGGUUUAAAGGGUGCGUUAGGCGGAUUUUUAAGUCAGCGGUAAAAUGUCCGGGCUCAACCCGGGCCGGCCGUUGAAACUGGGGAUCUUGAGCGGGCGAGAAGUAUGCGGAAUGCGUGGUGUAGCGGUGAAAUGCAUAGAUAUCACGCAGAACCCCGAUUGCGAAGGCAGCAUACCGGUGCACAACUGACGCUCAGGCACGAAAGCGUGGGUAUCGAACAGG
Molecule: ribosomal RNA, 287 nt
Filed under: uncultured bacterium
Lineage: Bacteria
Description: partial 16S ribosomal RNA
Rfam family: Bacterial small subunit ribosomal RNA
Source: RNAcentral